Molecule: non-coding RNA, 627 nt
Organism: Camellia sinensis
Lineage: Eukaryota; Viridiplantae; Streptophyta; Magnoliopsida; Ericales; Theaceae
Source: RefSeq, a predicted model, not a curated record
AUGUAUAAAGAAAAUCAUGGGGGGAAUGUGAUAUUUUGGAGGAUGCAUAAUCUCUGUGUAAUUUCUUUUUUAUUGUAAAGUUUGUGAAGAUGGACAUGGUGGCUUUAAUGAUGUUCAAACUAAAUUAUGCAUCCUUAAAAAAUUAUAAAGGAUCUUUUACAAAGAUAUAUAAAAUUUUGCAAAUAGAAGAGGGAAGUAACUAAAGUUUAAAAAAGAUCACAAAUGAUAAAAGAAGGAAAUAAAUUGAAAGUGUAUUUUAAUUAGAAUUGUGUUUAAAUUAUGAUCAAGUCAAACUUUUGUAGGAUUGGGUUGAAAAAGCUAGAGCUCAAGAGGAUAAAUAAGACUACAUUGCUUCGAUGGAAUUGUAAUAAGAUUGUUGUGCAUGCUCUUCAUUGGAAAAAGUACACAUAAGUUGAUACAUGGACAUUUCAGAAUGUGAUGGAGAACAAGUUUGAAGGUGUCAAAGCGCUUUAGAGGCGGCCAAGUACUUUUUGUAAAAGAACAAGUUUGAAGACAUUAUACGGCUUACAUUUUGUAAAGUUGACAAAUAUUUUGUAAAGUAUAUCCUUGAUGUUAACCACUUUUGUAAAGCUUCCUACUAAUAUGUACUUCAUUGAAUUUCUAAUA